GGGGUUGUGACUCAGAGGUAGAGUGCUCGCCUAGCACGCGUGAGGCCCUGGGUUCAAUCCUCAGUACCA
Molecule: transfer RNA, 69 nt
Filed under: Ictidomys tridecemlineatus (thirteen-lined ground squirrel)
Lineage: Eukaryota; Metazoa; Chordata; Mammalia; Rodentia; Sciuridae
Description: Spermophilus tridecemlineatus (thirteen-lined ground squirrel) tRNA
Rfam family: tRNA
About the family: Transfer RNA (tRNA) molecules are approximately 80 nucleotides in length.
Source: Rfam by way of RNAcentral